Molecule: non-coding RNA, 6737 nt
Organism: Xyrichtys novacula (pearly razorfish)
Lineage: Eukaryota; Metazoa; Chordata; Actinopteri; Labriformes; Labridae
Source: the annotation of a GenBank genome assembly
CAGAGAAUCCUCCCUCCUCUGUAUUUAUAUACAAUCAAAGCCGGACGCUCCUGGACCAACCCCAAGAAAACAUAAUUAAAACCGAAAAAUUAGGAACAAACCAGAAAGGAUCAAACAGCAUCAGGACUGGACACCAGCAGUCCUUGAAAGAAAAAGGCUGAAAUAUAUAAAUCCUUAAUACCCUUAGUGCAUUUGUGAAGUCAUGAAGAGUCCACAGCAGCCAUGUGGGUAGAUCUUUGUAGAUUUAUUACACUCAGUCCAAAAUAAAAAUAGAACAAAAAUACACUUACAAUAAACAAUUUACAGGUUGGCAUCAGGGUGUUUUAGCAAGCAUGGCAUCAAGCAGGGCUGGGUCAUAUCCAUAUGUUUCAUUUUUGUCAAAAAUAUGUUACACUAUAGUAAACAGCAGGGGUGUGCCAUCGGAAAGGGCAGGGGGUGGCAUGGCCCAUGAAAUCCGGCCACCCUAAAUCUUUGCCUUUGACCAAAUAUUUCAUGGCAAUUUUAUGCCAGCCUUUUGCUUUCAACACGUUGGUGGUGAGGGGUAAAUUCUUUUGUUGGUACUGAAAUUUCCCAUUGGGUAGAAAAUAAAUAUUUCUAAGCAUUAUUCUGUAUUGGAGGUUUAUCUUACCACUCUACUGGAUUGCUAUUUUUUAACUACACACAGGAAUUUAACUUAUUUACAUACGUUAGUGUAACAUAAACAGUAAGACUUCGAUGAAAUGCUGGUCUCAUUUCAACAGAGUCUCUUAUAGUGGCCAUGGCACAUUUGAACAUGCUGGUCUCAAAUAUUGGUCAGAUCCAGAUUAUGAUGAUCUGUUUAUAUGUUUAUCAGUGCUGCAAUUAAAAGAAAAAUUAUUGUGAGUGUUUUAGUUUCACCCACAGAAGACUGGCAUAAGAAAAAAUGUAAAGGCCGGUCAUUUUUGGCGACUGUCCCAAAUAGGCCUGUCACGAUAACAAAUUUUGCUGGACGAUAAUUGUGCUACAAAUUAUCGCCGAUAAACGAUAUUAUUGACACCAUUUUUAAAAUUAUAGAUAAUGAUAUUAUAUGGCAUAAUAAUGCGAGUACACCAUGUCAAAAGUGAUAAACUUUAAUUUCCACACGAGAACAACACUGGUUGUUUUCGUUGACUAAAAUAUUUCCCUUUUCUCCCACGACGAAGACGUACGAGCUAAACAUAAGUCGGAGAUGACUAAAAUGUGACGAGACGAAAGUGCGUUUACGUUGAUGGGACGAGACGAAAAUGACGAACAGAGUUGCAAAACUCAGUCAGUUAAACGCUAAACAUAUAGGAGCAGCUUCAGUCCGCUCUGACAGCUCUCAUCAGCCUGCUGUGCUCCUCCAACACACAGUCACACACACACGCACGCGCGCACGCACACGUGGAGUUUUGUGGUUGACGAAAACAAAACUGGUUUAAAGCCGAAAUAUUCCCACACUUGGGCUGUUGCGUUCGGUUUAGACACCAAAGCUGUCGUGUUCAUUCUGUUAGCUUGCUUUUCACUCACGACGCUCACUUGCAGCACUGUAUCCAAAAGUCUGUCUGUGUGCCUGUGCGCGCCUACGUGUACCUGUGCGCGCCAGCCCCCUCGUGACAAAGACACUGAAUGACUGACAGGAGGGUUCACUAACUCCGUUCAUUCCGCUAUAGAGCCAACGCCCCCAGGUGCCGAGAACAAUGCGCAGAGUGAGACCUCUUCUCUCAUCCAGCGUGUUUGGUAGCGAGAGAGGAGGAAAACAAACGCACGUCAAUUAUCGAGGCUGGCAAAGUUAUCGACCUCGUUUUUAUUUAUCGAGCGAUAAGGCGAUUUAUUGAUUAUCGCGACAGGCCUAGUCCCAAACGAAGGUUUGUCCACAUGGAACAGAUAGAAGUCUGGGCCAUUAAUUGAAGAUUUUCCGUACUUUCACUCCUGGGCACAACAUGUGCCUCAUGACCGUCCACCCAGCUAGGGAAGUCUGGACAUGCCCUGCUUGGUCAAUUUAUUUAAAGGUUCGUUAAACCAGCAACCAACAAAAAAUUAAUAAUAAAAAAAUUUAAAAAAGAAAGAAAGAAAAGAGAAAGAAAAAAAAAUUAUUUCACGUCAGCAAAUUUUCCAAACAUUUUGGGAUUUGCGAUUUUUGACCACUGAUGUUUCUUGCCCUUGUUUUUGUUUCAGGAACACUGAAUUUGAAUCUGAAAAUACCCAUCAUAUAAGACUUUAAUGUUAAACCAGCAGUGCAGUAAGUUCAUUUCUGGUCAGUCUGUUAAUCAACCAUAAAUGCAUUGUGAUUUUGCGUAGGUGUGGGAUAUUGUUACCGAGUGACAUCUGCGUUUUUAACUGAUAAAAUGAUCCCACGUUGAUGACAUACUCUUGUCAUCAGACUAAAGAUUAAAGCAGGACUAAGAGAUACUCUGGGAUGACUAAAUGUUGUGUAGGAAAGCAGAGACAGUUGACUCUGAUGAAUUCCUUUUUAAUUAAAGGACCUAUCAUAUCAGAGAUAUAUCAUAAUAGUCCAGUUGAAUUCUGCUGAAGCACCUCUGUCUCAUCCAAACAGGUGCCCAUGUGUCAGCACCAAGGCCGGCCUUUAUCAGCUCUUUACAGUAAACCACAGCCUCUUCUUGCUGUCACACCCUCACAGCUGUGGCUGGACCGUAAACACUCAUCAGAAAACAUUUUCACAUAUCUGUAGUGGUUACUGUCUGUUGUCAUACCCCUGUGUCUCAUGCUGAGGCGAGAUGAGUAAAAGUUGACUGGAUGACUCGGAGGUACGUGCACAAUGAUGGGAAAACACCGAAAGGACAGCAAUUAGCACAGACUUUGACCUAAAAUGAUGUGGGCUGUGAGGGGAAUAACACUUUUUUGCAACUCACUCAAUUUCAGGAAGAUCACUUGUUCAGUUUUUAAGUAGGACUUUGUCUACAGCAUUGCAUGUCAACAGCAAAGUGUCAAAGACGUCUCAAAAGCAAUGAGUUUUGUGGUUUAAUGAGCCUCUGGUAAGCACUUCUGUGGCUUUGGGUUUUAUAGCAUAAAGAAAAACAAUGUGUAAAGAAACAAGUUUGAUUCCUUGCCUUAGUAUGCCUUUAAACUCUUAUUGCUUCCCUCAGCCGCCUGUGAGUGUGCCUAAUAUAAACACUCUCUGAUGACAAGAGGGCCCUCCAUCAUUAACAGAGACGCAGUUCUGCUGCAGUGACUCGAUCCAUCCAGACAAGAACGUCAGAAUUCCUGGAAGACAGAAGGUUUUUUUUUUUUUGUUUUUCUGUGCUGCCUUGAGGUUGAAGCAGAGCACACACACACACACACAUUCCACACAGUGGGAUUAACGACCUCAGAUAGCUCAACACCACCGACGUGAGCUGGCUUUGACUGAUUGUUGUGGUCGUCAGUGAUGGAGCUGCUCAUGAGGUGAUGUGGAAAGAUAACAGUGGUAUUUCACGUACCAAGCAUCUAAUUUUUUACAGUAUAACAAAGUAGCAACAACUGCAGCGCAGGUUAAAGAAUAAUUCAACUCUAUUUGAAUGAACAAAAGAAAGAGUAAGUCCAAACUGUGCAGCUGCACAGCGUGAUCGAUUGGUUAUCUAUCUGUUGAGGUGAUAAGUGAUCACAGGGGUCUAACAGUGAUCAGGCUUUCAGUUAGAUAAGUUGUAAGCAUACACACACAAAACACAAAACACACACACACACACACACACACACACACACACACACAAGAAUGCAACCGAAACUUUAGGCACUGCUCAUUAAUAUAGUGGAGGAAAAUCACAUCAAAACAUUUGGCAGAUGAAGCUGCAAAAUGCUGACAGCUAAUGAAAGUGUACAGCUCAUCUGUUCACUACCAUGUCCUCGCACACUGAAAUCACCUGAUACAUACAUAAGUGCUAUAUCUAGUCUAAAUUUAACUCUGGUUCUGGUUUCAAACAAGUCCUAUGAAUAAAACCUGGUCCUCUAUUGGCCAGUAGCUACUUACUCAUGUUUCCGUCUGCCGUUUGGGCCCAUAUCAUGGAGGUCCUUUUAAGGAGGCAAAAUGAUGGAAAUCAAUGAGGACUUGGCUUGAAAUGAGAAGGAUAAACCUAAUAAGUAAAUAUUAUGAGAUAUGAAAUCAUGAUAAUGAAACAAAGACUCUCAUUGAGGGGAUAAAGAGACAAAUUUAUAAGCUUGUAUGUUAUGAUUACAAGAUAAACUCAAGAAAUCUAUGUGAUUAAAAGACAUUAUUGUAAGAUCAGAAGGCAGUAUUUAUGAAAUUGACAUUAAAAUGAUUAGAAAAUCAUAAUAAAGGCGUACAUUUUCAAAAUGUAUCUGAAAAAUAGAGUCAUACUAAUAAGAUAAAAAGUCAAAUUGGAUUACUGGAAAUCAAAAUGAUGAGACCAUGAGUCAUUAUUAUUACACGAAAUGUCAAAUUUAUAGUAUUUAUGGCUCCUGUACCAGGUUUAUGAUAUUUAUAGAUUCAAAUUCAUAUUGGUGCCUUUUUACGAGCAAACAAAAACAUCGUCAAUAAAACUGCUGAUUUUAAUACUGUAAUUAUGAAACUAGUGUGAGGGAGAUGGUGUCCGCCAAGCAGUCGCUCACAGUUAAAAAAUAUUCACUAAAUGAUUAAUUUGACGGUCAAAAGUUAGUUUGAUAAGAUUUUCUGUGAGAUGACACUGUUUAUGCUUAUUGAGGACAAAGUAAGCAAAGACUGCUUUGUCCACAAGGGGUGCUACACUUGACAGAAUCUGACAUUUCCUCAUGGGCGCUGUCAAGUCAAUGUUAUGAUACAGGAAAUCAUAAUCGUACAAUAGAGAGAAUAAUUUAGGGUAUUCAAAUGAAUAAUGAUGAGGAAAAAAAGGUCAUAGUCAAGAGAACAAAAAUCUAUUUAUGGCAUAGGAAGUCAAAAACAUGCUUUCAAAAGUCAUACUGAUAGGAUAAAAAGUUAAAUUUAUUACGAUAUAAUAUGACAACCUCACAAUCGAAACUUUUCAUAAUAUUGUUGUUGACCUCUUAUCACAUUAUUCUGGCCUUCUUUCUUAUAAUUUCAUAUUUUUACCCUUAUAUAUCCUAUCUCAAAUUUAACUCAGGCUCAUUAUUUUACAAGAUCAAAGUAAAGGGCUUCAGCAGAGUGUGCAGAAAGUAGCUGCCAAAUCUCUGUUAUCGUCUCUUUUGAAUCAUGCACAUGAGCUGAAGACAGUUCUAGGUACACAGUGUCCGGGUACGAUAAACCCAAACUCAAAUUGGAAGCCAGUGUAGAGGCUUACAGCAUGUAGCAAUCAGCUACUUCACUGUUGUAUAACCAGCAACUUCCAUUUUGUUCAGUGUCAAGCCUAUGUUAGGAAGAUCAUUUAAUUACAUUUUUACCAAAUCAUGACUUUUUAUCUCAUGAGAAGGACUGUCUUCCUUAAUAUCUCUCAUGAGAAUGACCUCACAUAUAGGAUUACAUUUUUAUUAAGGUCAUGUCUUUUUUUUUUCUUUUAAAAGGCUGUCAAUACAAACUAUCAACAUGUGUAAGUGUGACCCAUGUACCCAGAUGGUGUUUAUUUAUUUAUUUAUUUUUUUUUUUAGAAGUUAUUAAAAGGGCAACAACUGGGCCUUAACUAACCAAUUAUUUCCCAAGUAUUUACCAAUAAAAAAUUAGGGGAAAAAAAGAAAACCUCCAACAUAACUUCCCCAUGCCAAAGGAAAACAGCAGAUUCUUGCCUUUGGAUUUCCAAACUCAUUGCAUGUCUUGCAUUAAUCCAAAAUUAGAAUUUUUUUCUCAAAAACUGAUAAUCAGAAAAUUUAUAGUCUGACUUGCUAGUUCAUUAACUUUUUUCUUGCUGUAAGCUCUUUUUAUUAAAAGAAAAUACAGGAGUAGAUAUGCCAUUAGGACAGUACAAAGUGUCCUAAAUCUGAUGUAUAACAAGAGUUCAAUGAUUACAGCAAUGGCUUAUUUCUAACAUAAUGCAAUAUCAGUAUUUGACAUCAGCACAGUCCUGAAUUUGCUGUAAUCCCAGAGUUUUCAUACUCUCAGCUGAUGUAAAUUUAAAUGGGGUAAUAUACGUAGCAUGACACAUUGGCAGAAAGGUGAGAAUUCUGUACUGUGAAUACAUCUCUACAGCCUGGACAAUCAGAAAAGCCUCCAGACAAGCCUGAAUCAUGACCUAAACCACUGUGGACAAUGGUCUCACCUCAGUGAAUACCUCCACUUUGUUUGUUUAUUUGUUUCUUGUAGCUGUGUGUGCAAAUGAGUAUGGGGAGGGUGGGUCAGCUUAUAAGUAAUUAACAAGCAAUUUACUCCACCCAGGGAAGCGGGAAAGUUACUCAUGCGAUGCUCCCUGACAAGGUCACUGGCUGAUAGAUGAGCCUGAGCGAGGGGAUUUUUCAGAGAUUGUGAAGGCAGGCAGAACUGUGGGAACCAGACAAUUAGUGGGUGGAAGGUGGGCAGCCAUGUUGGAUGAUGACCAUGAGACUAGCUCACACAGAUACUCACUGCUUGGCCGGCUGACAGGGAGAAAACAGACACCUGGGCUGGACGAACUCUUACCACACAGUCAUUUAUCUUUGAGGGGGCUGAGCAGGCAGUUUGCCAACCGUUUAGGAAGAGCAUGUGCUGUUUUAAAUCAAACAAACAUGGAGGAGGUCAAUCUAGACAUAUAGGCAACAUAAAUAUUUUAAACACAUAUAAACAUACGAUUAUAUUCACUUUGAAUACUUUUGUAUUAUUAUAAUUACAUAUUUCCAAGCUCUGGCCUAAUGGUUUUGUAAAUAAGAAACGAUGGAUGAAAAACUAAACACAUUUUUUUCAUCUA